GCUCUGAUCCUGAAAGAUCUUUCUGAGGUGCUGAGUCCUGCCCAUGGAGAUGCUCCAGGAGCUCCUGGGUUGCACCAGCCAAGGCUGAAGGUCAGCUCAGGAGGAGCUGGGCCAGGUGCAGCUCCUGCAGUGGGGGGCUUGCAGAUGCUAGAGCUGUGCAAGUGAACUGCAGGUUUAGAGUCUGCAAAAGAACUGCAGGCAGGGAGAAGCUAGCUCCCUGACUCAGCAGCUGCAGUUCUGCUCUUCUAGAAACCACAGAGUCCUGGAUCUCCCCUGAAAGGGCGUUAACAGCAGGUUUAAAAGCAAAUCUAAUGGAUGUUGGAGAAAUAAACCACCUUUAUCCUGGGCAUUUGGUGCUCAGUCCUACUGCUUCUGCAGAGCUCAGGCUGCACAGGCACAGCACUGCUCAGCUCUUGGCUCCUGUUCAGAUCUCAAGACGUCUUCGGCGAUAAGGAGCAUUGUGGCUUCCAAUGGCAUCGAUGGGCUCUUGCACAGGAGGCACGGCAUCUUCUGUUGUGUUGGCUGGAAGUAAAGCCAUGAGGCACAGCCAAAACCCAGCUUUCUGACUGCAAUAAAGUGCCAAAAUGUCACUCCUCCUUCUGUGCUUCUCGCUGGAGCAUUCCUUCCCUUCCUGCACGUAUCUCUCGCUUUGUGGUUCGUCAGCUCUGGGUGGGCUGUGCUGCCCAUGCUGCCUGAUGGAGCCCGAGUGGAUCUGCUUGAGAACGUGCUUCAAUCUCACCUAUGUUUUAUUCCUGGAUAUAUCCUGGCUUCGGCACAUAUCAAGUCCUUUGUUGAGCCAAGGCCCGCGCCAACACAUCAAGAAUUUGGAUUCCUUUACGCUGCUCAUUGUCCUUCAGAACUAAGCAGUGCCUCUUCCCAUGCAUUUGGAAGGAAAAAAAAUUCAAUUUUGUAGCAUGGUGAAGAAGCUGGGUGAAUGUUUAGAGUGGCAAAGCCCAAGGCAGUCUGUAUUACAUUCUGCUAACUUCAUCAGGCGUAGGUCUUGCUGGAGGUGAGUGUGCAACAGGGCUGUCUUCAAUAAGAGGCUCAGGAUAUCUAGGGAGCUUUAGCUGUGAAGGCUCCUGUAAUUCGUUCCAAAGGAGAAAGACUUUAAAACCUUCCUUUGCCUUGCUCUCUUUCUGUCUAUUGUAUUAUUUAAUCUCACCUUCGCUCAGCAGAGUUCUUAUGUGUUGAAAGGAAAUGAAAUCUCUGCUGUGUUAUUAUUGCUUUCUGCUUAGAUAAAUAGUGUUGUGCUGAAUUCAGGGCAAGGCUCGCCAGCUUUUACCUCCUAAAUAUGCUGCUCUGGGCAGCAUGGCUCUGUGAGUGAAAAGUGCUCUGAGGUAUUGCUGAGAGAUCUUCUCAUCUCUGCCACUCGAACUGAAUCCUUUAACAGGUAAACAAAGCUGUGGGACAGUUAGGGUGAGAAAGACAUUGGGAUUUGUCACCUACCCACAAUACCACAGCAGCUGGAUUUGGGUUCAGUGAGGCCAUCAUAGGGAUGCUUGUCGUACUUUUUGCUUGCUGGGCUGAGAAAGCCCUUUUCCCGAGCUUUUAAUCCCCAAUUUGCUGACAGUGCAAUGCAUGGACAUGCACAGACUGGGCUUCACACAGCCUGAGGAGUGGCUCUGCUGCUCUGAGAGCAGGUGUCUCAGCAGCUGCAGUGUGAAAUGUUCCUGUAGGACAGUGCCCCUUCUCCUCACAAAUGAGGGCAGCAGAAGAAAUUAAGCAUGAUGUUUCUUCCCAAUGCACUGCUCACCUGGGCUUUGUACAAUCACUAAUGUUGGUAAAGACCUCUCAGGUCAUCAAGUUGAAUCAUGGAUGCUCGUGAGCCAGCAGCUCUGGGGCACCUUUGAGACAUGGGAGGAAGGAUGUAAGGUCUGGGUGAGCUGAGGGUUAGGAGGGAGCAAGAUGGUUCUCCUGAAGCUGAGCAUUGGAGGAACUGGAGAAUGGAGGUACAGCAUCUUAUUUGGUGCCUGGUUCUCAUGGGGGGCUGUGUGUUCCAGCACGGGGAUCUCACAGGGGUCACAGAAGGGGCUUGACAUGGUGACCAUCAGCUGCCAUUUCCAAUUGACCAGUGUGAUGAUUCCUAUUUCAGGCCACCAUUCUGAGGCCCUGCUGAGAACAGCUUCAGUGACAUGCUCUCCCUGUGACCUCUAUUUCAGCCCUCCUGGUGUUUGGCUGCUGACUCUCUGGUCCUAUUCAGAAUUAUAAGAGAGAUAAGUGAGAUUUCCUCUGUGCUGGCAGAGCAAAGGAGGAGUGUGGACCUGUGCUUACAUAACGAACCCCCAUGUGGCAGGAAGGGGUCCUGUGGCCCACAGCUGCCUGAUGAUGUGCAAAAAGCAAAUUGCUGUCAUUGCAGAUGUGCUGAGAAUGACUUCUAGAAGCUGCUAUCUAAAAUCUGGAAACAAAUAUUGCAUGAGGAGGAAAAGAGAAUACAGUCCAGAAAACACAGCUGUACUCUCAGAACGCGUUGAUCAUAGGGACAGCAGCUGUCCCCAGGCAUAAUAUUUCUCAUUAAAAAGAUAAGUAAGAUUAGGAGUUUCUCCAGGGCUUUUAAAAUAUAGAGGAUUAUAGAAUUGUUAAGGUUGGAAGAGACCACAAAGAUCCUCUAGUCCAACCACCAACCCACCACCAUGUCCGAUACAUGGCUGAGGGUGAAGCAGAGGUCUGUGGUGGAGGCCCAGCAGUGGCGAAGGGGAUUGCUGAGGGUGAAGAAGAUCCUUGUGUCAUUUUGGGGUGGGAUAUCUUCCAAAAGAGUGGUGAUGCAGUGGCAGAGCUGCCCAGGGGGGCGGUGGGGUCACCAUCCCUGGAGGUGUUCUGGAACAUGGAGAUGUGGC
This is a long non-coding RNA of Tympanuchus pallidicinctus (lesser prairie-chicken), 2834 nucleotides long. RefSeq lists it as uncharacterized. NCBI's taxonomy places the organism in Eukaryota, Metazoa, Chordata, Aves, Galliformes, Phasianidae. The record is from RefSeq and is a predicted model, not a curated record. The transcript has 5 exons.